AUACGGAGGGGGCAAGCGUUGUUCGGAAUUACUGGGCGUAAAGAGUACGUAGGCGGAUCGUUAAGUUAGAGGUGAAAUCCCAGGGCUCAACCCUGGAACUGCCUUUAAUACUGGCGAUCUAGAGAUCGAGAGAGGUGAGUGGAAUUUCCAGUGUAGAGGUGAAAUUCGUAGAUAUUGGAAAGAACACCAGUGGCGAAGGCGGCUCACUGGCUCGAUACAGACGCUGAGGUACGAAAGCGUGGGGAGCAAACAGAAUUAGAAACCCUAGUAGUCC
RNAcentral lists this ribosomal RNA (274 nucleotides) under uncultured bacterium. Its description in RNAcentral is "partial 16S ribosomal RNA". It matches the Rfam family "Bacterial small subunit ribosomal RNA", at positions 523 to 796 of the family's 1533-position model. The record is from RNAcentral.